Molecule: ribosomal RNA, 207 nt
Filed under: uncultured Hymenobacter sp.
Lineage: Bacteria; Pseudomonadati; Bacteroidota; Cytophagia; Cytophagales; Hymenobacteraceae
Description: partial 16S ribosomal RNA
Rfam family: Bacterial small subunit ribosomal RNA
Source: RNAcentral
UGCGUAGGCGGCCCGUUAAGUCCGGGGUGAAAGCCUCUUGCUCAACAAGAGAACUGCCCUGGAUACUGGCGGGCUUGAGUCCAGACGAGGUUGGAGGAAUGGAUGGUGUAGCGGUGAAAUGCAUAGAUACCAUCCAGAACCCCGAUUGCGAAGGCAGCUGACUAGGCUGGUACUGACGCUGAGGCACGAAAGCGUGGGGAGCGAACA